UACGUAGGGAGCAAGCGUUGUCCGGAAUCAUUGGGCGUAAAGCGCGCGUAGGUGGCUUCGUAAGUCCGUUGUGAAAGUCAAAGGCUCAACCUUUGAAAGCCGAUGGAUACUGUGAAGCUAGAGUACGGAAGAGGCGAGUGGAAUUCCUGGUGUAGCGGUGGAAUGCGCAGAUAUCAGGAGGAACACCAGCGGCGAAGGCGGCACUCUGGGCUGGUACUGACGCUGAGGAGCGAAAGCGUGGGUAGCGAACAGG
This 253-nucleotide ribosomal RNA is filed under the name uncultured bacterium. Its description in RNAcentral is "partial 16S ribosomal RNA". It matches the Rfam family "Bacterial small subunit ribosomal RNA", at positions 524 to 776 of the family's 1533-position model. The record is from RNAcentral.